Long non-coding RNA from Brassica napus (rape), 908 nucleotides. RefSeq lists it as uncharacterized. Lineage: Eukaryota; Viridiplantae; Streptophyta; Magnoliopsida; Brassicales; Brassicaceae. The transcript is spliced from 2 exons. The record is from RefSeq and is a predicted model, not a curated record.
AGAUCAUUGGAGGGAUUGCUCGGGGGAUGCUGUAUUUUCAUCAAGAUUCACGGCUAACAAUCAUACACCGUGACCUCAAAGCAAGUAACAUUCUCCUGGAUGCAGAUGUGAAUCCAAAAAUUGCUGAUUUUGGAAUGGCGAGGAUAUUUGGGAUGGACCAAACCCAGGAGAACACAAAAAGAAUUGUUGGUACCUAGUAAGUCAUCCACUUUACUUCUCAUAAUUAAAUUAAAGUUCGUUGAACAUGAUUUUGUCAAUACUAAAUUUUUGGUGUGGAUUUCAGUGGUUACAUGUCUCCCGAAUAUGCUAUGCAUGGCCAAUUCUCAAUGAAAUCUGAUGUCUAUAGCUUCGGAGUUUUAGUUCUUGAGAUUAUAACUGGUAGGAAGAAUAGCAGCUUCUACGAGAGAGAUGGUGCCCAUAAUUUGGUCACAUAUGCUUGGAGACUGUGGACCAACAAAACAGAGUUAGACCUCGUGGAUCCAGUUAUAGUAGAUAAUUGCCAGAAGAGUGAAGUGGUUUGAUGCAUCCAUAUCGGUCUUUUAUGUGUUCAAGAGGAUCCUGUAGAACGUCCGACGUUUUCAACCAUUUUGCUGAUGCUCACUAGUAACAAUGUGAUUUUACCAGUUCCUCAACAACCAGGGUUUGUCAUUCAGGCUAGACAUAGAAAAGAUCUGUCUGAUUCGAAUCAAUCUACGAUGAAGAAGUGUGAUAUACGGUCUGUCGGUGAUGCGUCGGUCACUGAUUUGUAUCCUUGUUGAUUAUUGAUUAUGGUGUUAACCUUCACGCUUGGACUAAUUGGCAUUCAUUGGUCAGAACAAGUGUUGUUUUGAGUUUUUAAUAAAUCAACUUAAAAAUAAAACCAAGUGUUCUCGUAUUUUUAAGUGUUUCAAUCUAAUAUGUUUGUUGUA